GCCAAGAUGAAGAUCCAGAAGCUGAAUGGUGAGCUGGAGCCCAUCAACACCAAGAGAGAGGAGCUGACUAAGAAGAAGGAGCAGUCUGCUAAAGCCACAGGCGAGGCGGACAAGAGUCUAAAGACCUGUUAUACAGAGAAGGCUGAUGCGGAGAAAAAGAAGACUGAGGCGUCGGCGGCCCUUCAGAAAGUCAA
Long non-coding RNA from Oncorhynchus keta (chum salmon), 194 nucleotides. RefSeq lists it as uncharacterized. NCBI's taxonomy places the organism in Eukaryota, Metazoa, Chordata, Actinopteri, Salmoniformes, Salmonidae. The transcript has 2 exons. The record is from RefSeq and is a predicted model, not a curated record.